GAGACUGUCUUGAGCUCUAAAAAGAAAACUAAUGGUUUUAAGUUGAUGAGAUUAAUUGUUGAUGUUGGUGGAGAAGCUUUAAGAAUAACAUUGAGGAAACAACUGUCAGAAAGAGUUGGCUCUACUGACAGCAUUCCUGGUUU
Long non-coding RNA from Xenia sp. Carnegie-2017, 143 nucleotides. RefSeq lists it as uncharacterized. NCBI's taxonomy places the organism in Eukaryota, Metazoa, Cnidaria, Anthozoa, Malacalcyonacea, Xeniidae. The record is from RefSeq and is a predicted model, not a curated record. The transcript has 2 exons.